RNAcentral lists this ribosomal RNA (125 nucleotides) under Lysinibacillus fusiformis. RNAcentral's name for it is "partial 23S ribosomal RNA". It matches the Rfam family "Bacterial large subunit ribosomal RNA", at positions 2801 to 2925 of the family's 2925-position model. Lineage: Bacteria; Bacillati; Bacillota; Bacilli; Caryophanales; Bacillaceae. The record is from RNAcentral. RNAcentral also lists the same sequence under 4 other names.
AAGAUGAGAUUUCCCAUUACGCAAGUAAGUAAGAUCCCUCAAAGACGAUGAGGUAGAUAGGUUCGAGGUGGAAGUGUGGUGACACAUGGAGCUGACGAAUACUAAUCGAUCGAGGACUUAACCAA